AGAUGGAUCUUAAUACAUCCUUUAAACACAUAGGCCUGGUCCCUGCCUUAAAAUCAUUUCUCUCUUGACUUACACAUGCAAGUCUCCGCAUCCCCGUGAAAAAGCCCCCACCCUCCACCUAGGAGUAAGGAGCCGAUAUCAGGUGACAUUAACCCAAGACAUCUAGCUAUGCCACACCCACAAGGGCCCUCAGCAGUGAUCAACAUUAAUAAUGAACGUAAGUUCGACUUAGCCAAUGAGAAUAGAGCCGGCCAAUCUGGUGCCAGCCGCCGCGGUUACACCACGAGACUCAAACUGAUUUUGACACGGCGUAAAGGGUGAUUAAAGACACAAAAUAUUGGGGUUAAACUCAAACUAAGCUGUAAUAAGCUUGUUCUUAAGAAAUCCUAUUCGAAAGAUACCCCAACCUACCCACUUGAACUCACGACAACUAGGGCACAAACUGGGAUUAGAUACCCCACUAUGCCUAGUCACAAACUUUAACUUACAUCUCAUCGCCAGGGAACUACGAGCUAAGCUUAAAACCCAAAGGACUUGACGGUACCCCACAUCCCCCUAGAGGAGCCUGUCCUAUAACCGAUACCCCCCGUUUAACCUCACCACUUUUAGUUUUCAGCCUGUAUACUUCCGUCGCCAGCUUACCGCGUGAGCGAAUAAGUAAGCUUAAUGUCUCC
Molecule: ribosomal RNA, 674 nt
Filed under: Pristimantis ornatissimus
Lineage: Eukaryota; Metazoa; Chordata; Amphibia; Anura; Strabomantidae
Description: partial 12S ribosomal RNA
Rfam family: Bacterial small subunit ribosomal RNA
Source: RNAcentral